RNAcentral lists this ribosomal RNA (301 nucleotides) under uncultured bacterium. RNAcentral describes it as "partial 16S ribosomal RNA". It matches the Rfam family "Bacterial small subunit ribosomal RNA", at positions 509 to 807 of the family's 1533-position model. The record is from RNAcentral.
CAGUAGCCGCGGUAAGACAGAGGAUGCAAGCGUUAAUCGGAAUUACUGGGCGUAAAGCGCACGCAGGCGGUCUGUCAAGUCAGGUGUGAAAUCCCCGGGCUUAACCUGGGUACUGCAUUUGAAACUGGCAGGCUAGAGUCUUGUAGAGGGGGGUAGAAUUCCAGGUGUAGCGGUGAAAUGCGUAGAGACCUGGAGGAAUACCGGUGGCGAAGGCGGCCCCCUGGACAAAGACUGGCGCUCAGGUGCGAAAGCGUGGGGAGCAAACAGGAUUAGAUACCCGAGUAGUCCCUGUCUCUUAUAC